This is a long non-coding RNA of Solanum pennellii, 470 nucleotides long. RefSeq lists it as uncharacterized. Lineage: Eukaryota; Viridiplantae; Streptophyta; Magnoliopsida; Solanales; Solanaceae. The transcript has 2 exons. The record is from RefSeq and is a predicted model, not a curated record.
AAAGCUUUCUAAAUACAUGUUUAGCUGAAAUCAAUUAAGAAAUGGAGAGGAAAUAUUUUGGAUUUUUCUUUGUGGUUCUCUUGAUUUUUGCCUCACAAAUGGGAAUAAUGAUGCCACAAGUAGAAGCAAGAGUUUGUAUGUCACCUAGCCAUAGCUAUCAUGGUCCAUGUUGGCAUGAUCACAAUUGUGCUAUUGUUUGUAGAAAUGAAGGCUUCUCUGGUGGUAAUUGUGUUGGUAUCCAACUCAAGUGCUAUUGCACUAAGCUAUGUUAGUUUUUUUAUUUUUAUUUGCGAUGUCAGGUUGUUGAUCCUGCUCUGAAGUCUGACUAAUUUCGAAUUCAUGCAAAGAAGCUAUGUUGACUUUUGUUUUCUUUUCCUUUUGAAAGGCUUAAUGUAAUGCAUGCAUCUAUGUUUCUAUUUUUGUUUAGUAACACCGUCAAACAUCUCUAUAAUAACAUUACGUUAUAAUGA